GAGGAAGGGAAAAAAAAAAAAGAAGAAUGGGAGAGGGACGAGGAUACAGCUAAGGCUACAGCCUUGGCUAGGUUCCUCCUUGAGGCGUUCGUUUUUUUUUGUUUAUUAUUUUUUUUCUGGAUUGGAGGACGUUCUUAACAAGGAGAAGUCAGUCCUGAU
Molecule: non-coding RNA, 159 nt
Filed under: Rhodosorus marinus
Lineage: Eukaryota; Rhodophyta; Stylonematophyceae; Stylonematales; Stylonemataceae
Source: RNAcentral